RNAcentral lists this ribosomal RNA (588 nucleotides) under uncultured Actinomycetes bacterium. Its description in RNAcentral is "bacterial SSU rRNA". It matches the Rfam family "Bacterial small subunit ribosomal RNA", at positions 820 to 1407 of the family's 1533-position model. Lineage: Bacteria; Bacillati; Actinomycetota; Actinomycetes. The record is from RNAcentral.
AUGUGGGGACCAUUCCAUGGUUUCUGCGUCGCAGCUAACGCAUUAAGCGCCCCGCCUGGGGAGUACGGUCGCAAGACUAAAACUCAAAGGAAUUGACGGGGGCCCGCACAAGCAGCGGAGCAUGCGGCUUAAUUCGAUGCAACGCGAAGAACCUUACCUAGGCUUGACAUAUAGAGAAAUCCCACAGAGAUGUGGAGUCCGUAAGGGCUCUAUACAGGUGGUGCAUGGUUGUCGUCAGCUCGUGUCGUGAGAUGUUGGGUUAAGUCCCGCAACGAGCGCAACCCUCGUUCUAUGUUGCCAGCGCGUAACGGCGGGGACUCAUAGGAGACUGCCGGGGUCAACUCGGAGGAAGGUGGGGAUGACGUCAAAUCAUCACGCCCCUUAUGCAUAGGGCUGCACGCAUGCUACAAUGGCCGAUACAAAGGGCUGCGAUACCGCAAGGUGGAGCGAAUCCCAUAAAGUCGGUCUCAGUUCGGAUUGGGGUCUGCAACUCGACCCCAUGAAGUUGGAGUUGCUAGUAAUCGCAGAUCAGCAACGCUGCGGUGAAUACGUUCCCGGGCAUUGUACACACCGCCCGUCACGUCACGA